GCAGUCACGAGAAUCUGGGAAGCUCUCAAUGGCCAGCCAGGACAACGACGUACAGCGAUGUUCAUGGUGGAACUAGUCCUGGUGAGAGCAGAUGUCGCCCGUUGCCAAGUAUGCCAUCACCUUGGUGACGUCCACAUCAAGAUCGGUGCUGGUGUGUACGCCCGGACCUGAACUGUUAAGUGAUGUUGUAUGGAAAGGCAUUGAAAGUGUAAAACAUCUUGCAAAUAAGGGCUGGAACUGAUUGGCAUGACAGAAAGUAAUUAUAAAUGAUUUGUGAUGUUGCAUUUAUAGCUUUAACCGAUCUUGCCGUUUCACUGUCUUCCUGAGGCAUUGUUGGUAGGGCUGAUCACGAUCUGUUGGUCGGUUGUAAGCUCCGUUACCUUUUUCCGAAACGUUUCGGGCCCCAAAAAUCCAGUUAACUCAGGCGCGCGACCAGGGCCCGCUAGGGGCCCAAAAGCGCAAAUUUCCUAAGGUCCGGUACGUACCUUUUUCCGAAACGUUUCGGGCCCCAAAAAUUCAGUUAACUCAGACGCGCGACCAGGGCCCGCUAGGGGCCCAAAAGCGCAAAUUUCCUAAGGUCCGGUACGUACCUUUUUCCGAAACGUUUCGGGCCUCAAAAAUCCAGUUAACUCAGACGCGCGAUCAGGGCCCGCUAGGGGCCAAAAAGCGCAAAUUUCCUAAGGUCCGGUACCUUUUUCCGAAACGUUUCGGUCCCCAAAAAUCCAGUUAACUCAGGCGCGCGACCAGGGCCCGCUAGGGGCCCAAAAGCGCAAAUUUCCUAAGGUUUUUCCGAAACGUUUCGGGCCUCAAAAAUCCAGUUAACACAGACGCGCGACCAGGGCCCGCUAGGGGCCCAAAAGCGCACAUUUUCUAAAGUCCGGUACCUUUUUCCGAAACGUUUCGGGCCUCAAAAAUCCAGUUAACUCAGACGCGCGACCAGGGCCCGCGACCAGGACUUUCCUCGUUCUGUGAGCUAAUGACUGCCUGGGUUUUUCUUCCAUCUGUUGUUCUUUGUUUUAUGUCGUGGUCAGUGGUUGUCGGGAACCUAGACCAUUACAUAAUCUGCCUUGUGUCAUUAUCUUGGGUCCCGAACCAAGACAGUGACACAGCGUCAGAAAGGAAGGCAGGUGGUUGAAGAGCUUAGGUUGUUACGAGCUUACAGAAUCAGGGAGGUCCUUGUUCUCUGAAGGGCCGAACUUUGCAGUAACUUCGGAUGCAAUCUCGGCCAUCAACAUGGUCACAGAAACCGAAUUAGCCAUGCAUAGGGCCUGUAUGCCGCAGAAACAGGCUGAAGCGCUGUGUGUAGAAGUAGCCACUGCUCUCAGAAUGUAGUCUCCAAGCAGACCCUACGGUGCCUUAGAAAUAGUAUCAAAGCUGGCAAGCCCGUUUGACUCCCUUAGCCGGCUAUCUCCCUUUGGCCGGCUAUAACUCCUUUGCCAGCUUUGAUAUUGUUUCCAAGGCACCGUAGGGUCUGCUUGGAGACUACUCAGAAUGUCCAAACUCUUACCAGCAACAUGACUUGGGCGGCAAGGUGUUGAGUACAUUUUGACGACACCCCAUCAGGAGAUCCUGAUUCUCUCCGCUGAUAAUGCUUCAGGUAGACAGAGAGGAUGGUACAUGUCUAGGUUGAACCUAGAACUGAAAUUAUCAUCACAGAUCCAAGUUUACUUCCUGCCGUGCCUCCAACAGUGUAUACACCUUUCUCACGCGGCGGCCAUGAUAGAUCUAAAACGAGUUCAAUGCGGCAAACAAAAGACUUUUCUGUGAAGUCAAAAAUUUUGUGGUUUGGGGAAAAACUAAAUGGCACCUGAUUUUAGAAAUAAGUUUUGUCUGUUUGCCUCAUUGACCUCGUCUUCGAUCUAUCAUGGCCGCCGCGCGAGAAAGGUGUAUAGAUGUUCUUGUUAAUGAUCUAUCAAGGAAUGUAAAUUGUACGAUGUCGGUCACCAUGUAUAUUGCAAUGCCAGAUACAUGUAUUUAAGUCCUUUCUUAAUGCUUUGUUUCAACAAAAUGUAUUGCUAUCAUGCCAUUCUAGGAUAGGAGUAGUGGUGCGUACCUAAAGCCCGGACUUGGAAUUGGACCUAAAAAUGUUUAGGUCCAAGUCCAAAAAAAA
Long non-coding RNA from Branchiostoma floridae (Florida lancelet), 2110 nucleotides. RefSeq lists it as uncharacterized. The transcript is spliced from 2 exons. The record is from RefSeq and is a predicted model, not a curated record. Lineage: Eukaryota; Metazoa; Chordata; Leptocardii; Amphioxiformes; Branchiostomatidae.